Molecule: ribosomal RNA, 484 nt
Filed under: uncultured bacterium
Lineage: Bacteria
Description: partial 16S ribosomal RNA
Rfam family: Bacterial small subunit ribosomal RNA
Source: RNAcentral
AUUGAACGCUGGCGGCAGGCCUAACACAUGCAAGUCGAGCGGAUAAAGGGAGCUUGCUCCUGGAUUCAGCGGCGGACGGGUGAGUAAUGCCUAGGAAUCUGCCUGGUAGUGGGGGAUAACGUCCGGAAACGGGCGCUAAUACCGCAUACGUCCUGAUGGAGAAAGUGGGGGAUCUUCGGACCUCACGCUCUCAGAUGAGCCUAGGUCGGAUUAGCUAGUUGGUGGGGUAAAGGCCUACCAAGGCGACGAUCCGUAACUGGUCUGAGAGGAUGAUCAGUCACACUGGAACUGAGACACGGUCCAGACUCCUACGGGAGGCAGCAGUGGGGAAUAUUGGACAAUGGGCGAAAGCCUGAUCCAGCCAUGCCGCGUGUGUGAAGAAGGUCUUCGGAUUGUAAAGCACUUUAAGUUGGGAGGAAGGGCAGUAAGUUAAUACCUUGCUGUUUUGACGUUACCAACAGAAUAAGCACCGGCUAACUUCGUG